UACGUAGGGUGCGAGCGUUGUCCGGAAUUAUUGGGCGUAAAGGGCUCGUAGGCGGUUUGUCGCGUCGGGAGUGAAAACCCAGGGCUUAACCCUGGGCUGGCUUUCGAUACGGGCAGACUAGAGGUAUGCAGGGGAGAACGGAAUUCCUGGUGUAGCGGUGAAAUGCGCAGAUAUCAGGAGGAACACCGGUGGCCAAGGCGGUUCUCUGGGCAUUACCUGACGCUGAGGAGCGAAAGUGUGGGGAGCGAACAGG
This 253-nucleotide ribosomal RNA is filed under the name uncultured bacterium. Its description in RNAcentral is "partial 16S ribosomal RNA". It matches the Rfam family "Bacterial small subunit ribosomal RNA", at positions 524 to 776 of the family's 1533-position model. The record is from RNAcentral.